Molecule: ribosomal RNA, 381 nt
Filed under: uncultured eukaryote
Lineage: Eukaryota
Description: partial 18S ribosomal RNA
Rfam family: Eukaryotic small subunit ribosomal RNA
Source: RNAcentral
CAAUAGCGUAUAUUAAAGCUGUUGCGGUUAAAAAGCUCGUAGUUGGAUUUCUGUCAAGGACAACUGGUCCGCCCCUCGGGUGAGCACAUAGUUUGGUCUUGGCAUCUUGUUGGAAACUGUUGCUGCACUUGGUUGUGUGGCGCAGUGUCCAGCACUUUCACUUUGAGGAAAUUGGAGUGUUUCAAGCAGGCACAUGCCUUUGGACACAGUAGCAUGGAAUAAUUAGAUUGGGCUUUUGCUCCAACUUGUCGGUUUCUGGAGCUGAGGUGAGAAUUAAUGGGGAUUGUUGGGGGCAUCCGAAUUUAGCCGUCGGAGGUGAAAUUCUUGGAUCUGCUAAAGACGGACAACUGCGAAAGCGUUUGCCCAGGAUGUUUUCAUUGA